CCUACGGGAGGCUGCAGUGGGGAAUAUUGGACAAUGGGGGGAACCCUGAUCCAGCCAUGCCGCGUGUGUGAAGAAGGCCCUCGGGUUGUAAAGCACUUUCAGUGAGGAAGAACGCCUGGUGGUUAAUACCCAUCAGGAAAGACAUCACUCACAGAAGAAGCACCGGCUAACUCCGUGCCAGCAGCCGCGGUAAUACGGAGGGUGCGAGCGUUAAUCGGAAUUACUGGGCGUAAAGCGCGCGUAGGUGGCUUGAUAAGCCGGUUGUGAAAGCCCCGGGCUCAACCUGGGAACGGCAUCCGGAACUGUCAAGCUAGAGUGCAGGAGAGGAAGGUAGAAUUCCCGGUGUAGCGGUGAAAUGCGUAGAGAUCGGGAGGAAUACCAGUGGCGAAGGCGGCCAUCUGGACUGACACUGACACUGAGGUGCGAAAGCGUGGGUAGCAAACAGGAUUAGAUACCCGAGUAGUC
This 465-nucleotide ribosomal RNA is filed under the name Vreelandella stevensii. RNAcentral's name for it is "partial 16S ribosomal RNA". It matches the Rfam family "Bacterial small subunit ribosomal RNA", at positions 338 to 795 of the family's 1533-position model. Lineage: Bacteria; Pseudomonadati; Pseudomonadota; Gammaproteobacteria; Oceanospirillales; Halomonadaceae. The record is from RNAcentral.